RNAcentral lists this ribosomal RNA (446 nucleotides) under uncultured bacterium. RNAcentral describes it as "partial 16S ribosomal RNA". It matches the Rfam family "Bacterial small subunit ribosomal RNA", at positions 338 to 795 of the family's 1533-position model. The record is from RNAcentral.
CCUACGGGAGGCAGCAGUCGAGAAUCAUUCACAAUGGGGGAAACCCUGAUGGUGCGACGCCGCGUGGGGGAAUGAAGGUCUUCGGAUUGUAAACCCCUGUCAUGUGGGAGCAAAUGAAAAAGAUAGUACCACAAGUUGAAGGUACCGCUAACUCUGUGCCAGCAGCCGCGGUAAUACAGAGGUCUCAAGCGUUGUUCGGAAUCACUGGGCGUAAAGCGUGCGUAGGCUGUUUGGUAAGUCGUGUGUGAAAGGCGCGGGCUCAACCCGCGAACGGCACAUGAUACUGCGGGACUAGAGUAAUGGCAGGGGUACCGGAAUUCAUGGUGUAGCAGUGAAAUGCGUAGAUAUCGAGAGGAACACUCGUGGCGAAGGCGAGUUCCUGGACAGUAACUGACGCUGAGGCACGAAGGCCAGGGGAGCGAAAGGGAUUAGAUACCCCAGUAGUC